RNAcentral lists this long non-coding RNA (752 nucleotides) under Cricetulus griseus (Chinese hamster). RNAcentral's name for it is "lncRNA (ENSCGRG00000026109.1)". Lineage: Eukaryota; Metazoa; Chordata; Mammalia; Rodentia; Cricetidae. The record is from RNAcentral.
AAGAUGUCAAAUGUCCCAGCCAUCAACAGAUCUGCCCCUGCUAGACAUGAGACUGUCCUCUUCUGUGACAUUUGGGGCCCCAUGCUCUGCAGUCCCCCCAGUGCUACUCCCUUACAUCUGGAGUCCAAAGAACUCGUCUUAUGGCCAGCAUGCCCUCCUUGAUGGAUGCUCCAGGCCUUCCUGGGCCCCCUUCCAGCCAGGGUCUGCCAGCUCCAACAUCAUCCCAUUAGGGAGGCACCAAGAAGACAGAAAAACAAAGUGAAUUUGAUACAAGCUCCUUUCAAGUGGGCCAUGAGCUGCUGCAGCCUCAGGAGAGAGCAGCUUUCUGAUCUCCUUCCAGCCCGUGGGUGCCCCUGGGUCUCUGUGGAGCAUUUUCAAAGAUCCUUUCCCUUCCCUCUCCCAUCCUCACCACAUCAGGGAAAGGCUGCCUGGGCUUUAAAGUUCCAGCCCCACUCUGAAAUUGGAAACAUGUGCGUUUUGCAAAGUAUCAAUUUAGCAGAGAGUUGGGUCUGCCUGGAUGGCUGGUGGCUGCUGAGUGCCUGUUCAGGAAUGCUACAUGGCCUAGAGUCAAGAUGUCCUCAGUUCAAGUCCUGGCCUUGGUGCAGACAAGUUGAGUAUGUUAGUUGUUCUUCUUGCUGCUGUAACAAAACACCUGACAAAAGCAACUUACUGAAGGAAAGAUUUGUCUUUGCUCAGUCUGAGGGUGCAGUCCAUCAUGGCUCAGAGGCAGGGUGACAGGAGAAUGAGACAAC